AGAGUUUGAUCAUGGCUCAGGACGAACGCUGGCGGUAUGCUUAACACAUGCAAGUCGAACGAGACAAAAGAGAAGUGCUUGCACGGAUCUUUUAGAAAGUGGCGAACGGGUGAGUAACGCGUGGGUAACCUACCCUAUGGAAAGGAAUAGCCUCGGGAAACUGGGAGUAAUGCCUUAUAAGAUAUAUUUGUCGCAUGGCAGAUGUAUUAAACGCUCCGGUGCCAUAGGAUGGACCCGCGUCCUAUUAGCUAGUUGGUGAGAUAACAGCUCACCAAGGCGACGAUGGGUAACCGGUCUGAGAGGGCGAACGGUCACACUGGAACUGAGACACGGUCCAGACUCCUACGGGAGGCAGCAGUGGGGAAUAUUGCGCAAUGGGGGAAACCCUGACGCAGCAAUACCGCGUGAGUGAAGAAGGUUUUCGGAUCGUAAAGCUCUGUUAUUGGGGAAGAAAAAAAGACGGUACCCAAGAAGAAAGUCCCGGCUAACUACGUGCCAGCAGCCGCGGUAAUACGUAGGGGACAAGCGUUGUCCGGAUUUACUGGGCGUAAAGGGCACGCAGGCGGUUUUUUAAGUCAGAUGUGAAAGGUACCGGCUCAACCGGUGACAUGCAUUUGAAACUGAAAGACUUGAGUAUUGGAGAGGCAAGUGGAAUUCCUAGUGUAGCGGUGAAAUGCGUAGAUAUUAGAGGAACACCGGUGGCGAAAGGCGGCUUGCUGGACAAUACUGACGCUGAGUGCGAAAGCGUGGGGAGCAACAGAUUAGAUACCCUGUAGUCCACGCCGUAACGAUGAGUGCUAUGUUGUUGGGGAGACUCAGUGCGGCAGCUAACGCAU
Molecule: ribosomal RNA, 836 nt
Filed under: uncultured bacterium
Lineage: Bacteria
Description: bacterial SSU rRNA
Rfam family: Bacterial small subunit ribosomal RNA
Source: RNAcentral